Long non-coding RNA from Macadamia integrifolia, 1109 nucleotides. RefSeq lists it as uncharacterized. The transcript is spliced from 2 exons. The record is from RefSeq and is a predicted model, not a curated record. NCBI's taxonomy places the organism in Eukaryota, Viridiplantae, Streptophyta, Magnoliopsida, Proteales, Proteaceae.
CAUCAAGCAUACAGGGUGACACACUAAAGGUCCCUUGCCCAUCAUGAGAGAGUUACGAUAAGAGAGGGGAAAUUACACUCCCCUCUCUGUACUAUGCCCUAAUAUUACUUUCCCCCAAUGUACUUUUCAAAAAUACCAGUCACUUCCCUUGUAGUUUAAAGAUUAAUAGUAUUAAAAUUCCAUGUAAAAAGACUGAUUUACCCUCGUAUCCAAGACAUAUCUUUUCUCUCCCAUUUCCUCAUCUUUGAAUCUGCUCUCAAACUCGCCUGACGGAGGAAAGAAGAAAGACAACAGCAAGGUUUUCUCAUUAUGACCUAACCCAGCCCAAAUCGAAGCUCUUGAUCCAGAGACUGUUCUGGUGACGCCUUACCUCAACAUAAUUGCUCGGCUUGAGGAUGCACCUCAGAUCUUCACAGGACAUUUGCAAGGCCUUCGGCUUUGAGCCAGCCAACGCCAGACUAACAUUACCGAUUUCAAAGACCUGACCCAAAAGUGCGUCAAUGCUACCAAGAUCUCUGGGAGUUGAUGCAGAAGGAGUGCCUAAUAGACUAACCUACGAUGAAAUCCAGAGCAAGGCAUAUAUGGAAGUGAAGGGAACAGGAACCGCAAACCAGUGCCCAACCAUCUAUGGCGGAUUGGAAUCCUUCUCCUUCAAACUAGGCAAGUACAGUAAGAAAAAAUUAUGCUUGGAGCCAACAUCGUUCACCGUCAAGGCCGAGGGUGUGACCAAGAACGCUCACCUGAGUUCCAGAAGAAGAAGCUCAUGAUCCGUUUGAUCUACACAUUGGACGAGAUUGAGGUAACAUUUCGAGUUGUCCACUGACGGCACCAUCAAGUUCUUGCAGAAAGACGGCAUCGACUAUGCUGCCGUUACGGUUCAACUCCUAGGAGGCGAGGGAGCGUGUGCCUUUCCUCUUCACCAUCAAGUAGCUUGUGGCAUCGUUAAAGCUGGAGAAUUAUUCCGCUGUUUUUUUAUAUUCCAACCAAACGUUAUUCUCUUACAUUUUCUAUUGGGUAUGUCUAAAUGUAACCUACAAAAACCUUAUAACCUAAAUUACUAUGUCUCCAAACCUUAUAACCUAAAUUACUAUGUCUCCAUUAUUUUGUUA